This is a non-coding RNA of Rattus norvegicus (Norway rat), 2659 nucleotides long. NCBI's taxonomy places the organism in Eukaryota, Metazoa, Chordata, Mammalia, Rodentia, Muridae. The record is from RefSeq and is a predicted model, not a curated record.
UGGAGAGACACUUACUCAGUAUCAUCAUAAACGAUGGAGAGACACUUACUCAGUAUCAUCAUAAACGAUGGAGAGACACUUACUCAGUAUCAUUAAGGUUGAAGAAGUUCAAGAAAAACUUAAAGAUGUGUUGGCAAAAGGCUGAAGUUUGAGAGUCACGAACUGCACCUAACUUAAUUGAGAGAAUUGAACGAAACUGAAGUAUUUUAGAUAGUGUAUAUGAUAGAAGGGAUUUGUGGGUAGAGGUGACCACCACUGUCAAACAGUCGUAUGCCACUUAAGACAUAUUACGAAAUAUGACCGCCAUAAUGGCAAAGGCAUGCCCAUACAGCCUGGAGACAUGGAGUCAGCGGAGGAAAUGGAUUCAGGGCAACCGUUCCUCUAGGGAUUUAGCAGUUAGAAUUUUACAGGCUACAGUUAUGCUCCUGUCAACUGAAGUAUCUGAUGGUGUUCACGAUAGCCAGUCAAAUAGAACAUUUGAAAAGUAACUUCACUUGCAACUGUUUUAACCAAUUUAGGAGUACAAACAUUGCGUCCUCAUUCCUCCUUCUCCUCAGAUCACUAAUUGAGUGGCAGGUUGAAGAUAUUCCAUAAACCUCCAACCUUCAACUAGCUGGUUAAGGAAAAGGCCUAAUGGAAGCCAAUGUUAAAACACCCAUGAUUCUGCCAGAGUAAUUCCCCAAUCCUACCAGCACUACAAUUAAACAUGGGCUCCAUGCUUCUGGAUCUUUACAUGGCUUCUGAGGAUUCUUGUGAUGGGUAUCUUGCUGGCUACAGAAAGAGAAACCUCAUUACCAAUUCUGUUAUCAAACUCUUGACCUACAAUCAGUCCACUGGUCAUAUAUUCUGGGGCAAUGGUGGUGCUUGUGGGAGUGACCAACUAAUGUUUGACAUGAUGCACAAGAGGGGUCCCAGGCAGUAAACUGCCCAAAUAGCCUGGAACAGGGGGCUGGAUAGCACAGAAACCUGAAUAUAAGAAAACAUCACACGUGUGCAUGUGAACACACACACACACACACACACACACACACACACACACACUCAAUAAAAUAAUCCUGAAGGUAUCUGUUAUAUUCAUAGAUGAGUACCUUGUCUAGUCAUCAUCAGAAAGGCUUCAUUUGUUAUCACAUAGGAGCAGGGACAGAGCCAUAUGAGAAAUUAUGUCUUUCUUCAGAGUGAAAGUCUAAAAUGUAGGUCUCCAUUGCUCUCCCCUACACAAACACACACACACACACACACACACACACACUCUCUCUCUCUCUCUCUCUCUCUCUCUCUCUCUCUCUCUCUCUCUCUCUCAGCUCUGGGAACCCAGUGAAAGAAUGGGAAAAAGGACUGUAGGGAUAUUAGGGGAACAUGUCCCACUGAUUCAACUGAGCAGGACUCCCAGGGGCUCACAGAGACUGAGGCAGCAAACAGGAGGACUGCAUAUGUCUUCACAAUGUCCUCUGUGCGUGCAUUAUGGCUGUUAGCUUGCUAAUUUUCAGGGAUACCUUACAGUGGGAGCAAGUAAGUCUCUGAGUUUUGUUCCUGCACUUGGGACUCUUCCUCCAACUGGCUACAUUUGUACAGUCAAGAACAUUCUUUGAAAGUGAAAAUGAAGCAGCAUCUUCUAUUAGCAAACUCUCUUACUGUAUUCAUGGAAAUAAAGGUUAUAUGCAUGAUAAUAUCUAAUGCUGGAACUGUGCUUCUCCCUAUCACCAUUAGUUUACCAAGGGCAGGAAUACAAUGUUGGAGGCAGUAUACGUUUUCUAAGUAAAUGAUGGCUAUUAAAAAUAUUUCUAGGACUUGAAGUAUUUCUCUGCAGAAGAAUAAACAACAUUGGGUUCAUGGAAAUCAAGCACCUAAAGGCCAUUUGUACAAAUGAGAAAGGUUGUUUACAUAGGAGACAUUUGUCAGGAGUGUCUGCUGCCUUCGUACUCAGCUUAGAUCACAUUGGCUUGAGACCCUCAAGUUUUCUCUGUGGUUUCUUUUUAGUUAUUUUUUUUGAGAUUAUGAUUAAAUCACUUCUCCCUCUUAUUUCCUCCCUCUAAACUUUCCCAUGUACCUCCUCACGUCUGGCUCUCUUUCAACCUCAUCGCUUCUUUUUUUCUCUCAUUUUUAGUUAUUAUUACAAGUGUGUGUGUGUGUGUGUGUGUGUGUGUGUGUGUGAAUGUGUAUACGCAUGUGUGUGUGCUCCUAAAUACACCUAAUAUAUAAAUAAGACCUGCUCAGACAUUAUAAUGUUACCAUUGUAAUAUAGUUUUCAGGGCUGGCUAUUCAAAAAGUUUGUAAGAGCCAGGUGAAGGGAGACUUUGCUGUGAGAUUGUCCCCUAGAAAUGUCAGAAGGCUGCUCCCUUUUAUAUCAAAAUUCACUCAUGUUAUAAUGACAAGUGUUAGUAUUUGACUCGUGUAGGUGUUUUCUUUGGAAGUCUGUCUGUGUGCCACGUGUAUGCCAUGUGCCUUAGAAAUCAGAGAAGGGUGACAGAGGACCUAGAAGUAGAGUUGCAGAGCGGUGAGAUGAGGACACCAGAAUUCCUACGAGUGCCCAGUGCUCCUACGUACUGAGCCAUCUCUUCAGUCAUAAUUGUCACCACUCUAAAAGGGGGCACGGAAUUCAAAGAAACAAAAUGGUGUUGGUGUAAAUGUGUAUUUUGACUUUUCUAUAAGAUUACCUUUU